CUGCUUUGGUAGUAGAUACCCUACAAUUGGAAAGAUACAGAGAUUAGCAAGGCCUCAGUACAGGCUGACACAGAUUCACGAAGGGUUCCAUAUUUUU
Small nuclear RNA from Nomascus leucogenys (northern white-cheeked gibbon), 97 nucleotides. NCBI's taxonomy places the organism in Eukaryota, Metazoa, Chordata, Mammalia, Primates, Hylobatidae. The record is from Ensembl.